GCGGCGGACGGGUGAGUAACACGUGGGUAACCUGCCUGUAAGACUGGGAUAACUCCGGGAAACCGGAGCUAAUACCGGAUAGUUCCUUGAACCGCAUGGUUCAAGGAUGAAAGACGGUUUCGGCUGUCACUUACAGAUGGACCCGCGGCGCAUUAGCUAGUUGGUGGGGUAAUGGCUCACCAAGGCGACGAUGCGUAGCCGACCUGAGAGGGUGAUCGGCCACACUGGGACUGAGACACGGCCCAGACUCCUACGGGAGGCAGCAGUAGGGAAUCUUCCGCAAUGGACGAAAGUCUGACGGAGCAACGCCGCGUGAGUGAUGAAGGUUUUCGGAUCGUAAAGCUCUGUUGUUAGGGAAGAACAAGUGCGAGAGUAACUGCUCGCACCUUGACGGUACCUAACCAGAAAGCCACGGCUAACUACGUGCCAGCAGCCGCGGUAAUACGUAGGUGGCAAGCGUUGUCCGGAAUUAUUGGGCGUAAAGGGCUCGCAGGCGGUUUCUUAAGUCUGAUGUGAAAGCCCCCGGCUCAACCGGGGAGGGUCAUUGGAAACUGGGAAACUUGAGUGCAGAAGAGGAGAGUGGAAUUCCACGUGUAGCGGUGAAAUGCGUAGAGAUGUGGAGGAACACCAGUGGCGAAGGCGACUCUCUGGUCUGUAACUGACGCUGAGGAGCGAAAGCGUGGGGAGCGAACAGGAUUAGAUACCCUGGUAGUCCACGCCGUAAACGAUGAGUGCUAAGUGUUAGGGGGUUUCCGCCCCUUAGUGCUGCAGCUAACGCAUUAAGCACUCCGCCUGGGGAGUACGGUCGCAAGACUGAAACUCAAAGGAAUUGACGGGGGCCCGCACAAGCGGUGGAGCAUGUGGUUUAAUUCGAAGCAACGCGAAGAACCUUACCAGGUCUUGACAUCCUCUGACAACCCUAGAGAUAGGGCUUUCCCUUCGGGGACAGAGUGACAGGUGGUGCAUGGUUGUCGUCAGCUCGUGUCGUGAGAUGUUGGGUUAAGUCCCGCAACGAGCGCAACCCUUGAUCUUAGUUGCCAGCAUUCAGUUGGGCACUCUAAGGUGACUGCCGGUGACAAACCGGAGGAAGGUGGGGAUGACGUCAAAUCAUCAUGCCCCUUAUGACCUGGGCUACACACGUGCUACAAUGGACAGAACAAAGGGCUGCAAGACCGCAAGGUUUAGCCAAUCCCAUAAAUCUGUUCUC
RNAcentral lists this ribosomal RNA (1207 nucleotides) under Bacillus safensis. RNAcentral's name for it is "bacterial SSU rRNA". It matches the Rfam family "Bacterial small subunit ribosomal RNA", at positions 95 to 1289 of the family's 1533-position model. Lineage: Bacteria; Bacillati; Bacillota; Bacilli; Caryophanales; Bacillaceae. The record is from RNAcentral.